GUCCCUGUAACGCAAUGGAUAGCGUGUUGAACUGCUAAUCCAAAUAUUGUGGGUUCGAAACCUACCUGGGAUG
Molecule: non-coding RNA, 73 nt
Organism: Trichonephila clavipes
Lineage: Eukaryota; Metazoa; Arthropoda; Arachnida; Araneae; Nephilidae
Source: the annotation of a GenBank genome assembly